UGGGUGUGUUUUCACAUGUAUUAAUAGCAAUAACGUUUGCCCUGUAUCUGGGCUGAGACUCAGCUGUUGCAGCAGUCUGUCUCUGUCAGUCACAGUCCACAUUUACUGCCCUUUCUCUGCCCUCUCUCUCUCAAAUAUCACCUACUGUCAUUACGUUUCUUCAACAAUUCAACAUUACGCUGGUUCCUUCUCAUUUGGUGCACACAUCUCUUUAUUUCUGACUAUACUCUUCCUCUGUCCCUUGCUGGACUUUGUCUUCUUCUACUUUGUCCGAACUCUCCUGUCCUCAUCUGACCGUUUCUGUUUUGUACCUGCCCGUAGUCUGUCCAGAAAUAACGGUUGACCUGUUUUUUGACGUGUUAAAUGUCUCCCAACUCUAUUUCCAACUGCGUACAGAACAGUCUAGUCAAGUUACAGACAGCAUGCGAUCCACGAACCACUACAUUUGUUACAUCACCUCUAAGUAAUAUAAAUGCCAGGAGGACACUAUUACCCUCUGUUUUAGAUUUAUUUUUUGGCCCAAAUCUCUAAUUAACAAUCACAAACUAGAUUACUUUUUUGGGAAUGGUGAUCUAGAGAUUACAGGAAACCGCACUACUUGCUUGCACUGGACUUCUAAUGAUCUUGUACUGCUAUAAGUGAUCCUCAGGUGUUUAAAAGGUCUAUCCAUUUCAUCUGGGAGGCAGACGCCCUCUCCACAUUUAAGACUUUCCUCUUUGAUAACGCUUAUAGUUAGGGCUGGCUCAGGCUGCCUUGGACCAGCCCUUAGUUACGCUGCUAUAGGCCUAGACUGCUGGGGGACUUCCUGUGAUACACUGAGCUCCUCUCCUCUCCAUCUGGAUGCAUUCUUGUCCAAUUCAUGUAUGUAACUAACUUAAUUUCUUCCCUGGAGUCUUUGUGCUUUCUCGUCUCGCAGGUUUCCAUGGAUCAAGGUUACACCUGGACCAGAGGCCUGCACUACGAAGAGAGUUCAACAUACCCGGGGUUCCUUCUCGUUAUCUGUCUUAACUAACCUGAACAACCGAGAUCCCGCCAGGCGGUCCUACGAAGCUGGUUAUCAACUCGUGUCAGGGAAAUGUUCAUUCAAAUGUAUCAUCAUUUUGUUGGCUGAAGGACUGCACUAUGGAAAAGCCCCCUCCUACCUCUCCGACCUGCUCCACCAACACAUUCCUUCCCACAGCCUCUGGUCCUCGGAUGUCAACAUCCCGUGUCCACCACUCAGGACCAAGCACCGGACCUGGAGCGACAGAGCAUUCUCCAUAACUAUACCGUCCCUCUGGAACUCACUCCCCAAAAUCAUCCGAGACUGCACCAGCUGUCCACAUUAGAAUUACAAAUCAAACCUCACCUUUUUAUAACUGCUUUUGAUGUAUAAUUCAUGUCAUGUGUUUUAUGUAAUUGUUGUUUUUAUUUCUGACAAUAUUUACUAAUUUUUAUGAAAA
This is a long non-coding RNA of Sebastes umbrosus (honeycomb rockfish), 1442 nucleotides long. RefSeq lists it as uncharacterized. The record is from RefSeq and is a predicted model, not a curated record. Lineage: Eukaryota; Metazoa; Chordata; Actinopteri; Perciformes; Sebastidae. The transcript is spliced from 3 exons.